Theobroma cacao (cacao) is the source of this 143-nucleotide microRNA precursor. It matches the Rfam family "mir-172 microRNA precursor family". Rfam says of the family: mir-172 has been experimentally verified in Arabidopsis thaliana. This family is thought to target mRNAs coding for APETALA2-like transcription factors. The record is from Rfam. Lineage: Eukaryota; Viridiplantae; Streptophyta; Magnoliopsida; Malvales; Malvaceae.
GUGUUUGCAGAUGCGGCAUCAUCAAGAUUCACAAACUUUAGUAAGGGCUUCUUUUGGUGGCCGGGGAGUGGUAACCAAUCACCUCCUUUACUCGAAAGUUACCUUUCAAAUGGGAAUCUUGAUGAUGCUGCAUCAGCAAACAU